ACGUAGGGGGCGAGCGUUGUCCGGAAUCACUGGGUGUAAAGGGCGCUCAGGCGGGGCGGUAAGUCAGAGGUGAAAUUUCACAGCUUAACUGUGAAUGUGCUUUUGAGACUGUAGGUCUAGAGUUCAGAAGAGGGCAGUGGAAUUCUUGGUGUAGCGGUGAAAUGCGUAGAUAUCGGGAAGAACACCGGUGGCGAAGGCGGCUGGCUGGUCAGUAACUGACGCUGAAGCGCGAAAGCCAGGGGAUCAAACAG
RNAcentral lists this ribosomal RNA (251 nucleotides) under uncultured prokaryote. RNAcentral's name for it is "partial 16S rRNA". It matches the Rfam family "Bacterial small subunit ribosomal RNA", at positions 525 to 775 of the family's 1533-position model. The record is from RNAcentral.